AGUGAACGCUGGCGGUAUGCCUAACACAUGCAAGUCGAACGGCAGCACAGUAAGAGCUUGCCCUUACGGGUGGCGAGUGGCGGACGGGUGAGGCAUACAUCGGAAUCUACUAUUUCGUGGGGGAUAACGUAGGGAAACUUACGCUAAUACCGCAUACGAUCUACGGGUGAAAGCAGUGGUUCUUCACACCUUUGCCGAUUGAAUGAGCCGAUGUCGGAUUAGCUAGUUGGUGGGGUAAAGGCCCACCAAGGCGACGAUCCGUAGCUGGUCUGAGAGGAUGAUCAGCCACACUGGAACUGAGACACGGUCCAGACUCCUACGGGAGGCAGCAGUAGGGAAUCUUCGACAAUGGGCGAAAGCCUGAUCCAGCCAUACCGCGUGAGUGAAGAAGGCCUUCGGAUUGUAAAGCCCUUUUGUUAGGAAAGAACAGCAGCAGGUUAAUACCCCGCUGUUUUGACGGUACCCAAAGAAUAAGCACCGGCUAACUUCGUG
This 492-nucleotide ribosomal RNA is filed under the name uncultured bacterium. RNAcentral describes it as "partial 16S ribosomal RNA". It matches the Rfam family "Bacterial small subunit ribosomal RNA", at positions 29 to 507 of the family's 1533-position model. The record is from RNAcentral.